GUAGGGGGCGAGCGUUGUCCGGAUUUAUUGGGCGUAAAGAGCUCGUAGGCGGUUGCGUAAGUCGGAUGUGAAAACUCAGGGCUCAACCCUGAGAUGCCAUUCGAUACUGCGCUGACUCGAGUCCGGUAGGGGAGCAUGGAGUUCCUGGUGUAGCGGUGAAAUGCGCAGAUAUCAGGAGGAACACCAGUGGCGAAGGCGGUGCUCUGGGCCGGUACUGACGCUGAGGAGCGAAAGCAUGGGUAGCAAACAGGAUUAGAUACCCUGGUAGUCCCAUGCCCGUAAACGUUGGGCACUAGGUGUGGGGCCUACUUAACGGGUUCCGUGCCGUAGCUAACGCAUUAAGUGCCCCCGCCUGGGAGUACGGCCGCAAGGCUA
Molecule: ribosomal RNA, 375 nt
Filed under: uncultured organism
Description: partial 16S ribosomal RNA
Rfam family: Bacterial small subunit ribosomal RNA
Source: RNAcentral